CUGGUGUAAUAAGCGAUUUUUCUCCACCUCUUCCAGUGACCUUCGGGUUCUCGAGUCUUCACAUUGCUGUAGCUGUGAUGCUGAGCUGUAACGCUCGGCUGUGCCUCAGAACUGUGGCACUUGGCUGUAACGCUCAGCUAUAACCCUUGGAUGUUGCACUGAGCUGUUCCGAUUUGCUGCGACAAAAGUAAGAAACAAGAGGAAGAUGGAGAGAGGCUUGCACCAUCCUUCUGGGGAUGAUGUGACCCCGGGAAGCCAGCCCUGGAACGAUUCUACUCCCUACUCCGUGCGUUCUCACUUCAGAGACUUCUGCUAAGAGGAACUGUUUGUGAAUGAAUGAUCUGAGUGAGCCCAUGGCUCAUUCAGCUUCACCCACACCAGUAAUAGGAAAAACCCAAGAAGACGAAACUGGAAAGACAAGUUGGGAUUCAACUGUGGAGUGUUUUAAA
This is a non-coding RNA of Heterocephalus glaber (naked mole-rat), 449 nucleotides long. The record is from RefSeq and is a predicted model, not a curated record. NCBI's taxonomy places the organism in Eukaryota, Metazoa, Chordata, Mammalia, Rodentia, Bathyergidae.